This 253-nucleotide ribosomal RNA is filed under the name uncultured bacterium. RNAcentral describes it as "partial 16S ribosomal RNA". It matches the Rfam family "Bacterial small subunit ribosomal RNA", at positions 524 to 776 of the family's 1533-position model. The record is from RNAcentral.
UACGAAGGGGGCUAGCGUUGCUCGGAAUUACUGGGCGUAAAGCGCACGUAGGCGGAUUGUUAAGUCAGGGGUGAAAUCCUGGAGCUCAACUCCAGAACUGCCUUUGAUACUGGGGAUCUCGAGUCCGGGAGAGGUGAGUGGAACUGCGAGUGUAGAGGUGAAAUUCGUAGAUAUUCGCAAGAACACCAGUGGCGAAGGCGGCUCACUGGCCCGGUACUGACGCUGAGGUGCGAAAGCGUGGGGAGCAAACAGG